Molecule: long non-coding RNA, 3698 nt
Organism: Capsicum annuum
Lineage: Eukaryota; Viridiplantae; Streptophyta; Magnoliopsida; Solanales; Solanaceae
Exons: 2
Source: RefSeq, a predicted model, not a curated record
AGUCCAUGUCAAAACAAGUGAGAAAAGAUUUUAAAACUGGCUACCAGUUUCUUCAAUUGUACAAAGCAAGACAAAAGGGACAGCACAUGAAAAGACAUGAUUGUGAGCCGAAAUAAGGCAUACAAAAAUUAUGUCAACAGACAAGUUUGGGAACUCAUGAAAAUACCAAGGUUCAAAGGGUUUAUAUGAUGAGCAUGGCGAAGCAGAGAUACCGUGUUUGUUUCAGAGUCACUCUUAAUAAUCUGAGUUUGGGUCAACGAUGCAGCAAGUCAAUGAUAAAUGCUUAUGGUUGGAAGCAAGGUUAAAUGUGAUGGGGCAAGAGCGAUCGUCGCGGAAGCUAAAGCCACAAACCAGCCACCGUGUUUUAAACUCACAAGUUUUCUUUGAUGAAACAGGAAACAUAUUACCUUCAAUGCAAGGACUUCAGAGCAUAAAUAUCUAGGCCUGCAAUGCCUCACAUUUAAAUAUGCAUGAAGCAAUGUUGCUGCAAAGGUUUGGUAAUCAAAUCAUGUUUUGAUAUGAUUUCAAGAGCCCGCCUGAAGAACAAGGUGAUGAGAUAGAAAGUCAGGAGCCCACCUGAAGAACAGGGGUGAUGAAAUGGCAAGUCAGGAACAUACCUGAAGAAUAGGGUGAUUAAAUAGUAAGUCAGGAGCCCACCUGAAAAACAGGGCGGAUAAAUGGAAAAUCAAGAACAAGGUGAAAAAGUUGAAAAGACAAGCAACAAGGUGAAGCAAUUGAAAGCCAAGCAACAAGUUGAAGAAAUUGCAAAUCAGGAGCCCGCCUGAAGAAUAGGGUGAUGAAACUCAAGUCAAGAGUCCAAAAGAAGAUGCAUAGAUAGGAUUUUUGUAAUUCCAUUUAUGUUUUUAACUCGUAAUUUUCAUUUUGAUGUAAUGACAGAGCUGUGGACCGGAACCUCGAUGGAACCUCACUCGACUCUCCAACUUGGUAUAGUCCUUCUCUUUCAAAUAUUUUGAAAUACCGGUCACUUGAUUCAUUCAUAACUUGGGUAGAUAGGUUGUCCUAAGUCAGGACUCGGUUGUCAUUCUUCCUUCUGUUCCUUCCUUUGAAUAAUGGUCGGGUCAAAAUUCUAUCUCGUUGUCUACUAUUUUGUCUGAAAACACUUCGUGUUUACAUUCAAAGGGGGCAUGAUGUAGACACCUAAUUUUGUCCCUCCCGAAGACCCAAGUUACACAUUUUUAUCCUCGUCUUACCACGCGCCCUACGCCAUGUAAUUAUCCCUACACAAAAUGACAAAAAUAAUAAUCCUUAAAAAAUUUUAUCUUUGUUCUAACAAACUCCCCAAUUAAAAGCGGACACCUCACCACCCCACUACCCAUCCACGUGACCCCCCCUCCUCACAUUUCUUAACCACAAAGGAAAAGAAAAACGGACAGCUGUACAAAGUUGAGGCCAUUUUUUCUCUCUUUUGGAUUUGAGAGGAACAAAAACAUACAAUAUAUUUCUCAGGGGGCCCACAGAUUUCCUUCGAUUAGAAAUACCCUCACAAGUCAUCUUCUUCAGAUGGACAAUCUUCAUAUUCAUGCACCAGCUCACUGAAACAAUACUAAUACACACUCCAGCGAGAGAGAGAUAUAGAUGCACACACGCAGAGAGAAUCGGGAGAGAGCGAAUAAAAAAGGGGCCUGAACAGUGGUCGGCUAGCGUGAAUAGUAAACGCUGAACAGAGUAGGGUGAAGAACAGCUUUUCUCGGUGAGCUUGUCACCGGAAUAGUGCCUCAUUGUAGAGUCCGUCCACUCCUCCCUAAAACCCAAUUGAAACCAGCUUCAAACCCCCUAAAAUCAUGAUGCCAGUGCCCGACUACUCCGUCGCCACCGUUGUUACUGUUUCGGUGAUGGAGUUUUCGCCUGGAAUGCGCCAAAUCGGUCAAAAUCGUCCCAAAAAUAUCAAGAAAACAGUGAGUUCACCUUGGGUUUUUGACAAUUAAGUUAGAGGUCUAUUUGUGGUAUUGGUAAAAAAUGGAACAAAAGAGAUAUAUCGAAGUUGGAGUUAUUCGUUUGGUGAGGCUCGAUCCGAGAUUAUGGAUGCGGUCCAAAUGAAAGGAGCAACUUUAAUCUAAAGCAACAUUUGAGGUUCAAUUCUAUCUUCUGUAUUUUUAUUUAGUUUUUAACAUAAUUAUGAAUGAUUUAUGUGUUUGGCAUGUUUGAAUCUUCGUGAUGUGUGGGUUGAUGUUGGAUUUGGAUAUGAAAACUUGAUCGGUGGAUUGUAUAUUGAAUUGGUUUAAUCGUGUUAAAAAAGUUGGGGCGCGAAUUGAAAAUUUGCUAAAUUGAAUUAGGAUUAAUUUUGAUUUAUUGUUAUUUUGAUUCAUUAACGUCGUCGAUCGUGAUAGUUCCAUGAUAGGUCAAGUUAGGUAGGCAAAAGUAGGUUGGGUAGGCAAAGUUUAGGAUCUGUGAUUGUUGAAAUGAUGAAAUAUUUGUGGAGUGGUUUCGAUUUAUGCAUUGGGAUCUAUUGUAUUCAUUUGGCCGGGUAAUGCCCCGAGGGAUUUGUAUUGAUUCACCGGGGAAUGCCCCGACGUAUCAUGUAUUCGGAGGACGUCCGUGAUGAAGGCCCAAAGCAUCGGGUUAGGUAUUGGAUCGUAGUUUAGGAUUAGUGUAGAUUAGCGUAGGUUUAUUUUUCAGUACAUUUUUUUUUUUUCAUUUCGGGUUGUAAUAAUUGGACUGGACAUUAUUAUUUUGGCUUUUGGAUUGUUGUUUGAUGUUUGUUUAUAUGCUUUGUGUGGUUUAUACAUUUGUGGUGUCUAAUUAGCCGAUACUCUCCACCAAGAGACCGUGGUCGAGCCACGGGAUCGAGGGGUGCCUAACACCUUUCCCUUGGUCAACAGAAUUCCUUAGUCGGAAUCUCUGUUUGCGGAUCAAUUUUACAGAGUGAAAAUCAUUUUGAAAAAAGUUUUCCAAAGGUGACUUGGCAUACCCGAUUAUGCCAAGUGGCGACUCUGAGUUUUGAAUAUAAAUAAUCUUUUUCAAAAUAAAUUUUUAUUUUUUGUCACUUUGAUAAUAAAAAUCCUUUCAAACUUAAAACAAAAUCUUUUUUUGUUAAAAAAAGGGUGUGACAAGGAAAAGGAAAAAGAAAAAGAAAUAGAAGAAAAAGAAAAGGAAAGGAAAAAAUAAAAAAGGAAAAAUGAAUAUUAAGGAAUAAAAAUCUGCCACUAAGAUGGUAUGACACGCGGCAUUUGCCUCAUUCAGUGUUCGGUCAUGUGGAUUUUAAAUUGUCAUAGUGAAAAAAUAUUUAAUAAAUCAGUAAUUUUUGUUAAGUUUCAUACUAAGUUGAAUGUAUUGAGCCUAUAUAAUUAGAGAAAAACUUAAUUAAUAAACAAAAGUAAGAGGUAUUUUUGCAAGAACACAAGGAUAAUCAAUAAUGAAGUGUGAAAUAAAGAACAUAAGUGAAUAUAAAGAAACCAUAGCCGGUGGGAAAAAGGGAGAUCUUAUAUCAACAAUUUUGAGGUGGGGUUGGUACUGUGGGGUAGUAGAGAGGGGUAUUCACGGGUUGGUUUAGGCUGAUUAUUGGUCAAAAUCAAAAUCAAAUCAAUAUACUAAGUUUUAAAUUAUUAAAACCAAAUCAUACCAAAUAUAAUAUAUAUUUAUUGAUUUGAUUGUUAUCGAUUUAGGUUCGUUUUGAUUCAAUUGUUUGAUUAUUAACCAAAUACGAAAUAAAAGAAAUGAUUCAUUCAAAAGAAAAAAAA